UAGUCAUAUGCUUGUCUCAAAGAUUAAGCCAUGCAUGUGUGAGUACAGGCCGCUUUAAGGCGAAACCGCGAAUGGCUCAUUAAAUCAGUUAUGAUUCAUUUGAUGGAAAGCUAUUACUCGGAUAACCGUGGUAAUUCUAGAGCUAAUACGUGAGAUGUAAACUCCGACUGGAAGGGAGGAGUGCUUUUAUUAGUUUACAACCAAGCGGGCCUCGGUCCGUUAACUUACUUGUGAUGACUCUGAAUAACUUUGUGCAGAGAGCACGGUCUCCGCACCGGCUCUGUAUCUUUCUAGUUUCUGCCUUAUCAUGCUGUGGAUUGUAGGCCAUGCGCCUACAGUGGCUGUUACGGGUGACGGAGAAUCAGGGUUCGAUUCCGGAGAGGGAGCCUGAGAAACGGCUACCACAUCCAAGGAAGGCAGCAGGCACGCAAAUUACCCAAUCCCAGCUCUGGGAGGUAGUGACGAAAAAUAACAAUGCGGGACUCUUCCGAGUCUGCGUAAUUGGAAUGAGCACACUUUAAAUCCUUUAGCAACAACCAAUU
RNAcentral lists this ribosomal RNA (542 nucleotides) under uncultured eukaryote. Its description in RNAcentral is "SSU rRNA". It matches the Rfam family "Eukaryotic small subunit ribosomal RNA", at positions 21 to 549 of the family's 1831-position model. The record is from RNAcentral.